This 594-nucleotide long non-coding RNA is filed under the name Anser cygnoides (Swan goose). RNAcentral describes it as "lncRNA (ENSACDG00005019171.1)". Lineage: Eukaryota; Metazoa; Chordata; Aves; Anseriformes; Anatidae. The record is from RNAcentral.
AUGGGAAAUUCAGGAAAUAAUCGCUUUCUUUUGAUACCCCCUCUUCUUCAUUUCCCCACCUCCCCCCCAAAAAGCAGGAAAGGCUUGGUGAGAAUAACGCAGACUGUGCCCAUGGAGCCUGGAGGAGCAGCAGAGAAGAGACAUCUGAGUGCUUUUGCUGUUUUCCGUAGGGAUGCCCUCAGAAACGGCCUUUAUUUUCUCUAAAUGACGGGAUGAUUUUCCUGUCUGUGAAGAUUGAGGACCAGAAGUGCUGUGUACUGCAGUCCCGUCCUUAUCCGCGGGCCAGACAUCAUAGCAGUCUGUCGUAUCGCUCUGCUGAGCCUGGACGCGGAGCUAAAGGGAACAAACUGAACAGCCCGUGAUGGAUUGACUUCUAUUAGAUUCUUCAGGCAUCACCAUCAGUGUGAACUCCAUUUAAGUAACACCGUCAGAGACUUAAUUUAUUAUAUAAUUGAUAAGAAAUAUCACCUACGAAGCCUAGACAAUGAAAGUGACUUCCACAGGAAAUAUUUUGCUAAGAGACAGCGACAUGGGAAUGCGCUGGAGGCAGAAAAUUGAGUUAUGGAAUAAAUAGGUAAAAAAUAAUUCUUCGCA